AAUAUUACACAAUGGGCGAAAGCCUGAUGCAGCAACGCCGCGUGAGUGAUGAAGGCCCNCGGGUCNGNAAGCUCUUUGAUCAGGGNAGAUAAUUACAGUACCUGAAAAACAAGCCACGGCUAACUACGGGCCAGCAGCCGCGGUAAUACGUAGGUGGCGAGCGUUGUCCGGAAUUACUGGGCGUAAAGGAUGCGUAGGUGGAUACUUAAGUGGGAUGUUAAAUCCCCGGGCUCAACCCAGGAACUGCCUUCCAAACUGGGUACCUAGAGUGCAGGAGAGGAAAGCGGAAUUCCUAGUGUAGCGGUGAAAUGCGUAGCUAUUAGGAGGAACACCAGUGGCGAAGGCGGCUUUCUGGACUGUAACUGACACUGAGGCAUGAAAGCGUGGGUAGCAAACAGG
RNAcentral lists this ribosomal RNA (399 nucleotides) under uncultured bacterium. Its description in RNAcentral is "partial 16S ribosomal RNA". It matches the Rfam family "Bacterial small subunit ribosomal RNA", at positions 360 to 776 of the family's 1533-position model. The record is from RNAcentral.